CCUGUUCCAGUGCCCAACCACCCUCUGGGUGGAGAACGUUUUACUAGAUUCUAAACCUCCCCUGACACAGUUUCAAGCCAUUUCCACAGGUCCUCUCACUGGUCACCAGACAGAAGAGAUUGGUCCCUGCCCCUCCACUUCCCCUCCUGAGGAAGCUGUAGACUGUGAUGAGGUCUCCCCUCAGUCUCCUCUUCUCCAGCCUGGUUUGGUAAAGACCAUAUUUGUAAUGAAAAACUAUUGUAUAGUUAAUUUCUAAACAGAGAAACAUUUCUCACACAUGAAAAAACUAUACAUGUAUUUGAGAAUUUGCCCACAUACUAAGAAGAGGCAUGAAUUGUACCUAAAACUGACAACAAAUAAAACCAGCCAUCACAGCGUCUUUUUUUUUUACCUGCCACCUCACAAUAGUAAAAUGCUGUUGUUCAGUUUUAUUAUGAUGCCAUGUAGCUAUAAUUUAUUGCAUUUCAGUGUGCACUGGAAAGUAUUUGCAUGUAAUAAGUAAAAGAAGAUAAAAAUCCAUUUGUGGUUUGGCAACUUCCAUGUAUCAAGAGCUACCCUCUUUCUAAGGAGACAUUGAGCACUGGAGUACAGGAACCUUAUACUGUAACUUUGUUAUAAAUCACUGCUAACCGAAAUGCUAAAUAAUGGAAAUCCCAAACAAAAAGUCUGGUACUUUUUAAAUGCAUAGUCCCAAAGAUGGUGUGCAGGAGAGAGGAAAUCAAGACUUGCAUAUGAAUGUUGCAAAACCAAAACAAGUUUAAUGGCCAACCACACAGCAAAGUAUUUGUGUUUUAACAAUGUGGCAGUCUUGAAUUUGGAAGGUUGAUAGAUUUUUCAGGAUCAAAAGAACAUUUUGUAAAAAGUUUAAUUUUAUAGUAGGUUUCAUUUUGGACCUGUCAACUUUGACACAGUCCCAUUAAAGCAAUAAUUCCUGCUAUGCGUUAAGGUUGGCACUCCAAAAAUUUCUUCUAUGGAAAUGAAUCUGUUCUGUGUUCUGUUAGAAAUGCUCAAAUAGCAUUGUUUGUCCUGUGUCACCUUAUUUAUUUGAAAGGACGUAUCUUAGCAUUUCCUCAGAGAUGCAUAUACACCCAAAUUGCAAUAUUAUUGUAUCUUUCAAAGACCCCGUUUCUGCCAAUGUCAAGAUUGUCUAUUUUAAUGCUUAUGAAAACAAAUAUCUAUUUGCAAAUCUGUCAGAAUUAUUUUAUUAUAGCAUUCCCAAGUAUGUAAGACCUAGAGAUUCAAAAUAUGAAUGGGAUUACACCAUUUAAAAUUAGCACUGAUUACCUACAGUAUCUGGGAAAUUGUUUUUUUUAUUUAACAGUGGAAUGAAAAAUGCAACUCAUAAUUGCCCCAAUAUUUAUCUUGCUGCAGAGAAAAAAUUAGCACUCAUUAGAAUUCAUAUGGGUUAUGACAGCCUUAGUCCAUUUUUACUAAAUUGCUUUGUUUGCCAAUCCACUCUGGUUUACACAUGUGUGUCACUUAAAACUGAAAGACUUCCUUCAAGUAUUUGAAACUAAGGUUGAUUUAAAAAAAUACUAAUUGCCUUGUCUAAAAAUAUUUUUUACAUGAUUUGCAGGAGCGUGACUGUUGCAGAAAAAUUCACUUUUGCCUUUAAGAUAUAGAGCAUGACCUUUUGGUUACAGUAAAUACAGUACUCCAAGUCUGGUAAAGUCAUCACAUAUACUAAAGGUAUUAAGACAAUUUACCUCACAUUCCUUCCUAUUAGCUUCCACAAUUAACAUGAUCCACAGCUGAAAAAAUAAUUCUAGUUGUCGCUGAUAAAUGGGGUGAAAUCGUCAAUCACUGAAGUUGACAGUAUUAUUUUAAAAAGAUAUUGCAAACAAAUGUUUACCCAGAGAUAGUAGUAUGUUGCUGAGAUUUUGUUCUUCAGGGUUCUCUCAUUUCAUUCAUGUUGCUGACUUUGGUGCUCAAUCUCAGAUUAAAGAAGGGGUUUUUUUGCUUUGGGUUUUUUGGGAGGUUUUUUGUAAUUUUUUUUUUUUUUUUUUUUUCUGUAGCACGAAGAGACCAAACACCCAUGCAUCAAAGUGUUUAACAGAACCAGGAGCAUUCCUGGUAACACUCAGAGAUAUAACUUCAGCUUUUUGUUUAUUUGUUUUCUUUUCUUGAUAUGAUGUGCAGACCUGAGAUUUUGGUUCAGGCCUGUCUCCACUGAGAGGUGCCAGUAAUACAGAACUCUCCUAUUGUGGGCUAAAUAGAUAUCUUACCUAUUUUUAACACUCACUUUUGAUCUCUGAAGAAUUUUAAUAUCAAGGUGAAAUAUUACAUGUUGGUUUCAUAUGUAGAUACUUCAGUGACAUAGACAUUAAUGAAAAUGCAUACAGUGUUCGUAGAGAAGAAAUAUCUUGUUUUUGACAUUCUCAGUGCUGAGGAGAAAUCUUUCAUGAAACUGCUGCGGGAUGGUGAGUCUCGUUCUGUCUGCUUGUGAGAGGCAGUUUUGCUUUUAAGUUUGGUUCAAAACAAAUUAAAUAGAAACUUUUUCUUUCAAGUUUGAUAUUUUAAACUACGUGGAUACUGCCAAUUAGCAUGUUCUCAAGCACUUUGUGAGAAUCAUUUCACAUCUAACCUGAUUAAGGCCUGAGGAGGUGUUCACUACUAGUCAAUGUUUCCAGUUAGUGAUUUGAUCUUUUCAAUUUCUUUCUGCAUAUAACAUUUAAAAAAACCCUUGAUGUUCACACCUGUUUGCACAUCUUGUGUCAGACAAGUGUGCCCUAGGAGUGGUUGUUGAGGCAAGUCUGGAAUUCUCCUGGCACUCAAGGAUCAGUUUGUUCUCAUUUGUCUCCAGAUGAGACAGAAUAUUGUGUUCUUUCGCCAUCAAGGACCAUUUUCUCACCAUCUUUUUUGUUUCCAUAUCUGCUUAUUUUGGAUGGGAACUCUGGUUCAUGCAAUAACUAAUGUUGGAUGAUGCAUUUUCUUUCAGCAAAACAGGGACUAUUGCAGAGAAAUAGUUCUGAGACUCUUUUUUAUUAUCAAAAUUACAGGUUAUGUUGCAAAUACUAACUAGAAAAUGUAAUUGUUAGUCAAUGGGUUUGAGUAUAUCUAAAAGCCAAGAUCAAGUGUAUCCUAUUCCAGCUGACUGAUGCUGAAUAUUGGUUCUCAUUUGCUAAUGUCAGAAUUAAAGCAGAAAAAGUUACCAAAAAUACAUGGUGUCUGAUUCAGCAGGAAGCUUAGCCCAGUGAGUCAUGAGCCACCGUUCUGAAUGGCACUGAGACCUCCAUCUCUCUGAUGGGAAGCAAAGGUGGCCAUCUGCCUGAACCUAUAACCUGUAGACCAUAAGAUACUUAAUAUGUUUGCCACAGAGCUGAGGGGAGAUGCCAGUUUGAGGAGGCCUUGGUAGCGGCUCUACCUGACCAAGUCAUGCCAACUCACAUCUUCUGCCAGAGAAGGGACUAGUAGUCACUGUUCCAGCAGAGCCCACUGCUUGCCAGUGGCCCACUUGACUUGUCAGGAAUGGUGUGGAGUUUAGAGCCACAAGCCAGCCAUGUCUGGCUUACUGAGACAAGCACUUUUCAAGGCGAUGAAAGAAACACUGAAAUGGGAAAAUGAGUGCUGGUGGCAGGCCUCCACACCUGUCAUGCUGUAUUACAGUUUCAGUCUUUGAUUGUUGGUCCCAUAAAGGUGUCGUUUUCUUCAUGUUAUUAAAGCAAUUACAGUUAUUAUACUAAAUUUGUCCUUUCUGAAGGGAGCAAGAAUAAAUGAGAGAGGAUUUGCAUACAAAUUGAGCCUGAUGUGGGGGAAAAUCGGAGCAGGUGGUGAAGCUGUGUGAGGAGACAUUAUGCAGGAGCAUGGCCGGAGCUGCCCUCCUCUACAACCCGUUGCUGGUGACCCUUUGAGGAAUGUCUCCUGACUGUCUGGUGGAUUCAUUUGAAUGAAGGACAGUUUGGCACACUGUUAUCCUGGGCAGAUCAAAGGCCAGGCGUUGGCUGGCUGGAUGGACAGAGGAGGCAUGUGAAAGGCCUCCCCUCCCACUGGCAAGGCCUUUCCUUGGCACUGCUCAGCCUCCCCCCACCUCUUCUCUCAGAGACAUACCCCUGUGUAAGGCAGCUCUCCUGUCCCGUGCUGCCAGGUAGGAUGCCUGCCUUUGCUGCAGGAGCACCUGCCUCUGAGUGUGGUGGGUUCCCCUGGCCUCAGUCAGCUGGGAUAGUGAGUAGUGCUCUGGGACUGCACCUCCCAUUGCAUCCUAGGAAGGGCGUCAGGUCGCCCAUGCAGGUGUUUGUAGUUCAGAAGAGGAAGACAAGGUGGGCAGCAGGUUUCCAAGCCCAUCCAAAGUGACAGCAUAUUUGGCUUUUGGACAUGGAAAACCAUUGCUCCAGUUUCCCACUGCGGUUGUGUUUCUUUACACAAGGUUCCCCUUGUGUGUCUAAUGACAGGGGUAGGGGUUCUCACUCAUGAAAGUGCUAUAAAAUAUUAGGAAAUAAAGCUAUUUUUUUUCCUGAGACUGAGUUUUAUACCCCAAGUCACUGCUAAACAAAGGAUCAGUGGUGUGGAGGAAACACAAAUGCCUGGCCCUGUCCUUGUUAGGUUUGGACUAGUUUCAGCCCAACAAGCCUGGUACUGAGUAAUUGAUGUGCAAAUUAAUUUUAUGAUAUUACUAGUAGAUGAAAAGUGUAUCUGAAAUAUACAUUACUUGCAAAUGAACCUUUGUUAUAAUGGGUUGUCCUCAUUGAAACAGCCCUGGAACAUGCUGUUUAAAUAAGAAAGAAUGCUGUUGUACUUUAUUUUUAGUAAUGUCUUUUGACACUGAAUAAGAUUCUUUGAAUUCCUACAGAUGUGGAAAAAAAGCAGCCCUCUUUCUCUUUUUUUAGGAAAAAAAAUUGUGUUUACAUUUGUUUUAUAAGUGGGAGAACGAUUAUAAGUUGUAUCUUCAUGGGUCAGCAUUGUCGGCUAUAUUAUAGGGCAAUAACCAAGUUGCUUUCCUGACUUAACAUGUGCAUGGAUAUCAAGACCAAUGAAGGUAAAAUUAAACCAGUGAAUGGCUGUCUGUGUGAAGGUUCAUAUUAAUUUUUAAAAGUCUAUAGCAGUAACAAGUGUAGCAGAUAUCCUAAAUCAGAACAUGAGGAUGAUGUUGAAUCAUCUCAACUAUUUUGAAGAGUUUCUCUGUGUUUCAAUGUCAGACCUGCCUCCACUGAAAAAGAAUAACUGGUUAGAGCAUGAGCUACCAGAAUCAUGGCUGUUACUGCAGAUCUGCUGCUUUAAUCAUGACGACUGUUCUGCUUUUCAGUCAUGGUUCAAGACUGAUCCAGAAAUAUUCAUUUAUUUCCAUAGUUAAAGUUAAAUCACUGAUACAGAAGUUACUAUCUGGGCAUUCAAGUGUGGGAUUACCAGCUUUUUACUUGGAUAUUUUCCUCUGUAGCCACAGAAGAAAUAAUUUCCUUUUUUUUUUUUUGCACUGUGGUAUUUAAAUGUGAGAGAACAACUGAAAGGAUAAUAAGUUAGGAAAGCUAAUUCUCCUUUUCCAGGCAAUGAAGAGAAACCACAUGGUAGGUGAAACAUCUUGCUUUAGAAAUCCUGGUGGACUCACUGAUUUACAGAGAUCUAUCCAGUUCUCACAGUUAUUAAACCAGAGGGAUUAAGAUUUGGAGGACAUCACCAGCUGGUCUUAGUCACAGUGCAAAUGCAUCGCUCUCCUGGGUACCUAGACAGAUGUAGAGUCAAGUGGAAGUGCAGAUAAGCAUGUUCGAUACCACCACUGUACUGAGAUAUGCAGACCACCAUAUGGAAGGCAAAUGUCAUCAAUUUUUUCCCCAUUUUAAAGUUUCUUAUGAGGAAAGUUUAGCCCUACCUGUGGUUACAGAACAAAGGAAAAAUCUUUUCUAUGUGCAUUUUAUAAUGUAUCUCUUAUGUAAUCAUUUAUGGGACAUUAUAGCUGGAAUACAUAAAAAAUUUCAGUAUUUAUUUCUCCAUCAGAAUUGCUCAGGUUUUUCUUCACCUGUCAAAAUGAAUUGCCUCUACUGAGCAAUGUCUCAGUGUUCUGCAUGUCUCUGUUCUGUGAUUGCUUUAAGGCCACAGUAUAUCAGAUUCAGCUUCUUAAACUAAAAGGUGUAGGAAAUUCAGAGAGAAAAAUAUUACCAAAGUAACUUCAUUAAAGAGCCCUGUAUGGAAGAUCAAUGUCUUUUCUCAAAAUGCACUCAGAGAAAAUGUUGUGUUGAAAAACAAUAAAAAAUAUUGCACUGAUGUUUCA
Pipra filicauda (Wire-tailed manakin) is the source of this 6199-nucleotide long non-coding RNA. RefSeq lists it as uncharacterized. Lineage: Eukaryota; Metazoa; Chordata; Aves; Passeriformes; Pipridae. The transcript is spliced from 2 exons. The record is from RefSeq and is a predicted model, not a curated record.